CCUACGCGUGGCAGCAGUGAGGAAUAUUGGUCAAUGGGCGGGAGCCUGCACCAGCCAAGUCGCGUGAGGGAAGACGGUCCUACGGAUUGUAAACCUCCUUUGCCGGGGAGCAACGGGGUCCUUGCGAGGGCCCGAUGAGAGUACCCGGAGAAAAAGCAUCGGCUAACUCCGUGCCAGCAGCCGCGGUAAUACGGAGGAUGCGAGCGUUAUCCGGCUUUUUUGGGUUUAAAGGGUGCGUAGGCGGGCUGUUAAGUCGUCGGUCAACUGUCGGGGCUCAACCCCGGACUGCCGUUGAAACUGGCGGCCUCGAGUGGGCGAGAAGGAGGCGGAAUGCGUGGUGGAGCGGUGAAAUGCAUAGAUAGCACGCAGAACUCCGAUUGCGAAGGCAGCAUACCGGCGCCCGACUGACGCUGAGGCACGAAAGCGUGGGUAUCGAACAGGAUUAGAUACCCUAGUAGUC
RNAcentral lists this ribosomal RNA (460 nucleotides) under uncultured bacterium. RNAcentral's name for it is "partial 16S ribosomal RNA". It matches the Rfam family "Bacterial small subunit ribosomal RNA", at positions 338 to 795 of the family's 1533-position model. The record is from RNAcentral.